CUGAAAAAGAAAGUAGGUAUGCAUUUGAAGUGCUACCUAGCGGUUUAAGGUUAGAGAAUCGGGAACGAUGCUCACAAUAAGAUAGUCCAGAGUGUUCUGAACCGUUCAAACCCUACAGAGCAUUAUACGACUUUUCUAACUGAAAUGCAGGAAAAAAACUCACUUGUUAAAGAAGGGGCUUGAAUCCACUGUGGGGUCAACUGCAUUGAAUGUGUGAACUAACCGAAUUGAGAUCAGGGCACACAACACUACAAUAAAACAACACUUUCCUCCAAGAAAGGGAACAGUGGCCGUGAUAUAAACUGCUUGCUCAAGAACAAUUCUCAACAUCAUUCCUACACGCUCUCUCUAUAGAGGCAAGGAAAACACCCUGGACACAUUGAGCAACCUUUCUGUACAGGCUUUGCCCCAUUAAGUAAGUGUCUGUGUCAAUCUCCCACGGCCUUUCCUUAAUCAAGUAAUAAGACUUUUUUUACGGGUCAGAUCCUCGAGGACCUCCUAUCAACAGUGCUCUUGGAACUGAGAGCGUCUCUGCCCAUCCAGGCCACCGAUGUUGCCACUUAUUUUUUCUAUCUGCUUAACCAAACACUUUCACCCUUCUUCAAUGUUAUGUAUGAACUUAUGUACACACAUUUCAGGGUUUUUUU
Long non-coding RNA from Cimex lectularius (bed bug), 647 nucleotides. RefSeq lists it as uncharacterized. The transcript is spliced from 2 exons. Lineage: Eukaryota; Metazoa; Arthropoda; Insecta; Hemiptera; Cimicidae. The record is from RefSeq and is a predicted model, not a curated record.